Long non-coding RNA from Mastomys coucha (southern multimammate mouse), 3211 nucleotides. RefSeq lists it as uncharacterized. The transcript has 2 exons. The record is from RefSeq and is a predicted model, not a curated record. NCBI's taxonomy places the organism in Eukaryota, Metazoa, Chordata, Mammalia, Rodentia, Muridae.
CCUAAGGAGAGGUCCUGGAGGUAUUAACACCGUUUCCUGGUUUAACUUCUGCUGUCUGAACUUUCAGAUUUCCUGGUCAAAAUGGGCUUGAAGCAAGAGCUAAUUCUUUUGCUCCGCAUAAGGAAUCACUGAAAUGGCUCCACUCUAUAAGGAAUUAGGUAAGCAGAGGGCUAGCACGGAAACAGCGAAGUAGUUAGUUAUCCAGGGGCUCGGUAGUAUCAUGCAGUAGGCUCAUUUCCCCAGAGAGACCUCAGAUUUAAGAUUAUAUUUCACCAUCUUUAUUUAUCCCUCUCCUUCCAAGAAUCUGAUCUGAAUUGGUAGACUUGAUUCCAGGGCCCCUCUCUCUCUCUCUCUCUCUCUCUCUCUCUCUCUCUCUCUCUCUCUCUCUUUCUGUGUGUGUGUAUGUGUGUGUAUGUGUGUGUGUGUGUGUGUGUGUGUGUCCUAACUACUUUGGAUCUAUAAUUUCAAAGAGAAGAUCUGUCACUAACGUUAAUCACUGCCAAUAGUAAUUACAGUGGUUGGGUUAUUAUUAAUAACAAGACGUUCUACAUACAGUAUUUGUGUUCAUGGUACCUAGUAGAUUUUAACUCAUUGGGAAAAUCUAUCAAACAUAUUGUCCUUUCUCUCUCUUGAUCAAUUAAUUCUGAUAUACAUUCAACUCCCACCACAGAAAUCCAUUCCUGGGACCUUGCUCCAGUGUUCAGAAUAUUCCUCCAGUAUUUUAUGUAGUUAGUUCACAAGUUCCUGCCUUGCUUAGGACAUCUCUGCAUCUAUCAUAAAUCCUUCCACCCACCAUCUGAUUCUUUCCAUUAAACAUAUGACAAGGCUCUAAUAUCAACAAAAAAGCAAGAAGCUCAAAGAAAAAGAAUGUUUCUGUUCUUGCCUCAUUCACUAAACAGGUCCCUUCUUUUAUCUCUCUAUGGCAUUUACUUACUAACCUGUGGAAGAGUCUCUAUUUGUACAUUUUCUCUUCAACCUACAAUUUGACAUCUUCAGACAUUGUUCCCUCCCAAUUGUGUAGAUUUUCUUUUUAAUGAAAGCUGGUCUUGGUAAAACCAAAUCAUCAGUAGUAUUCAAAUUGGUAAGCAUAUUUCAGACUUUUCUGCCAGUAUUUGGCAUUUGGAACUCUUCCCUGCAAAUAUCAGGGUCGUUAACAUUUCUGACAUCACUCUCAUUUAAGGGUUUUGUCUACCAUGUUGGUAUCUGGUUUGUGGGCUGUCUGUUAUUGGCUUAUUUGUUUUCAGGCUUGUUUUGUUUUGUUUCUGUAUAGCUGUGAUAUACAUUUGUACAUGCAUGUUUAUAUGUGUAAGUGCACAUGCAUGUGUGUGUGUAUAUGUAGAGAGACCCACAGUUAAGAUGAGGUAUCUUCUUCCAUUACUUUUCUAUUUAUUGAGAAAGGCACUUUUUCUAAGCCUGGAGUUUGCUGGUUGGAGUGCUGGGACUCUAAGUGGCAGUCAUACCUGACGGGCCUUUACCAUGGCUCUGAGAGCAUGCAUUAUAGUAUCUAUGCUUAUGGAGCAAGCACUUUAUCUACUAGCCAUCCAUUCUGCCCCAAUAUUUGCUUUUUAAGCCACUUAAAAUCUGAAAGCUAGUAUCCUAGUAAGAGACACCCUUGGAUUUUUUUUCUGUGCUUCAUGAAGAGGCAUGGUGUUUACACGUGCUUAGAUGUUGCUGUUGCCUAAGUCUUAGCUUCCAGGUUGGAUACCCUAAACAUCUACUAUCUUUUGCUCAUAGGUCUAAAUCUCACUAUAAUUACAUUUACCUCUAAUCUUUCCCCACAGGAACCACACCCUCAAACAACAUCAUAGAUUUUUGUGGUGAUCCCAUGUUCCUACCUCUUGUUUCAUCUUUUUCCAAGCUCACAAUAACAAAGUUAUGAAGAUUCUCUCUGCUUGGUAUCCCACUAAACACCUACUUCUCUCCAGUUCCCCUGCUUUGGUUCAGAAAUAUGUUGUGCUAACAUGAAAUAUUCCAAUUUUCUGUUUAGCACUACUUCUAUUAUUAGGGCAUCUAUUUAUAUUUUCUCCACAUUAUUUUAAAAGGAUUUUUUUACAUUUAUUUAUUCUAUGUGUAUUUUUGUUUUAUAUGUAUUUAUGUGUCUGUCUGCCUGUAUGUAUGUGUAACACAUCUGAGCCUGGUGCCGAGGAAGAUGCCCUGGAACUAGAGUCACGGGUAGUUGUAAGCCACAGUGUGGGUACUGAAAUACUAAUCUGUCCUCUGGCAGUCUAACAAGGGCUCAUAACUAUUGAGCAACUUCUCUUGCCCUUAAAAGGGAAGUUUUUAAAUAGGAUGAUGUUGUAAAACCUUCUGAUAUACCCUGAAUAGAAUAACAUAUCUUACUAUGUGUGAUAGACAAAAUAUUUUUGGGAGAAAGUUUGAAUGUUAUCUAAAUAAAACAAAAAUGAAGUUUCUCACAUGUUCUAAAGAUUUAUUCCUUUAAGUAAUUACAUCUACUUCUCUAAAACAAUCUAAAAUAAAUGUAAUUGAAGAAGUACUCUCUCAAAAUGACAAGUAACUUUUUUCAAUAUUCAAAUAAAGCAAAACAGAGACAAGAAAAUGAUGGAAGACAUGGCUUGCAUUCGAUGGGAGCAUGUCAGAGACCCCUUUAAUGAAAGGCAGGCACCAAGAGAAGAGAAGGGCAUGUGGGGAACAAAUGAGAGAGCCAUAGGAAGCUGGAUAUAUAAAACCUGCUGAUAUAUAUAUAUAUAUAAAACAAGCUGAGGGAAAAAUGGCAACUCACAAGGCAAGCAAUGGGAUGGACAGAGUAGCCAUAGUAUUAAUGAGUGACACAAAGAUUAUUUAAAAUUUUGCAUAAUUUAUGAAUAUUUGAACAUGCAGUAAUGAGAUGUAGGAGACUUUUAGUAAGGCAAGCUGAGGGAGAGAAGGCAGCACUGUAUGAUGCCGCCAUGAUGCCGCCACGAGUGCUUUCAUCCUACACUUGACUUGUUUAUAUCACGUUGAUUCCCUUCACUCUGCUUUUUGAGCAUGUGAUCUCUGUAUCCCCAGGUAUGCUGUGGUAGCUAGAGAAGCGCGCCUGUCACAGGUGAGCCAGACGGGGUCUUCGCUGUGGUUCGCAUACUCCCUAUUCUUCUUAGGAAUUCAAAUUAAACUUACUAAAUCCUUCAUGCCACAGUAGAUACAUGCAGUAGCAAGACAUCAUGAAGAUUCAGAGUCAUUGAGCAAUUAUCCUUGUGUCAGGAAGUCAGAAUAA